This 254-nucleotide ribosomal RNA is filed under the name uncultured bacterium. RNAcentral describes it as "partial 16S ribosomal RNA". It matches the Rfam family "Bacterial small subunit ribosomal RNA", at positions 524 to 776 of the family's 1533-position model. The record is from RNAcentral.
CACGUAGGGUGCGAGCGUUGUCCGGAAUUAUUGGGCGUAAAGAGCUCGUAGGCGGUGUGUCGCGUCGGCCGUGAAAACCUGCAGCUUAACUGUGGGCUUGCGGUCGAUACGGGCAUCACUGGAGUUCGGCAGGGGAGACUGGAAUUCCUGGUGUAGCGGUGAAAUGCGCAGAGAUCGGGAGGAACACCAAUGGCGAAAGCAGGUACCUGGACCAUUACUGACACUCAGCUGCGAAAGCUAGGGGAGCAAACAGG